This is a long non-coding RNA of Sorghum bicolor (sorghum), 2594 nucleotides long. RefSeq lists it as uncharacterized. The record is from RefSeq and is a predicted model, not a curated record. Lineage: Eukaryota; Viridiplantae; Streptophyta; Magnoliopsida; Poales; Poaceae. The transcript has 6 exons.
UCUCAAAUUUUAAUCUCAAGUCGCCAGAUCCAGCAGCCCCCUAUCCCUCUCUCUCACUCUCUCCCGUCCGCAGGGCGCCGCCCCGCCGGCGAGCAGGCCGGCCUCGCGGGCUCCCUCCUCCGAGCUCGCCCGGCUGCCUCCACCACGGUGCGUGCCUCCUACCCUCCGGCCGAGCGAAGGAGCACCGGCGAGCGAGGCCCCUCUUCUCCGGCGAGCGGACUCGCCCCCUCUGCUCGCGCAGCUUCUCCGCCACAAGGAAGGCGCCUUUUCCCCUGCCGCCGCGUCCAUCGCCACGGCCGGCCCUCCGCCACCGCACCAGCACCAGCCGAAUCGUGCAGAUCGGGACACCGGAGAUUGAGACAGCGCAGCCGCAGUGCUAGCGUCAGGCGGUGACAAUGGGACGUGGGAUCAGAAAUGCAGACUAGUAGCAGUAGAGAUGGAGAACUGGGAGAAGCGUGGCAUGGCAAUGGCAUCAGGGCUCAGGAGGGGCUCGUCGUCGUCAGGGGGGCACGGAGACGGUGGGCACGGGCAGGGCAACUGCCGCUCGCUCGCUGCUGCAGGCUCUCCUGCGCCCCCGCUUUUGACCGGAUGAAUUCUGUGCAGGGUGACUAGCUUCUAUUCUGAAUUACCGCCGUGUGAAUUCUGUGCAGGGAGUGGUAACCACACUGUCAGGACAGCUCUUCUGGUGUCAAUCCCUGUCGCUGUUGCGCUGCUGGUGUUGCUGCUAGUUGUUUCCUGUCUCUGCAAGAACAGAAAACCACACAAGCAUGUGUAGAUUGCAAGCAUCAGACGUGAAGAUGAGGAAGGAAUGAGAAGCUCAGAGUCUCUCCUGUAGGGGUUACAUGUUUGAUAUAAGAUUUUGCACAAUUGAAAGACCAUGGACAGGCACAGUAGUGACUACUACGACGAACAGGAGUACAACAUCUUUUCCCAGGAGACGUCGUAUCCUCUGACAGCCCCUAGCCUCUCGACUCCUAGGGGACCUGGUCUACAAAAUCUAGACCUCAACUCCCAGGCCGACGGCUUCCCGCACAUGGACUCCUAUAUUGAAAUCCCACAAUCAGAGAAAGGUGACAGUGAGGCACGGCUACCUCCUCUUCCCCCAAGAUCAAGCCAGGCGCCGUUCCAGCCUCCUCGUCAAGGCGGUGGUGGGAGGGGACCUGGCCGUGGAGCAUGCCAGGCUGCGGGCAGACAAGGUCACCGCAACUCUCGCAACUCCCUCAAUAGUAGAGCUGCAGCCGGCCGCGUGCCACAAGAAUAUGCUCCUCCGGCCUAGUUCAAUCCUCCGGUGGUUGGUGGCAGAAGCCGUGGUACUUCGAUGCUUAACCGUCCUAGCGUGCAUCAUCUUCGUCUUUUGCUAGGAACUCCUUUCCUCCACAGGAUCUCAGUGCCCACAAUCAGUGGGAGCAAGAAGAUGAUAGCGUCUCUCAGUUGCAACCAUGGGCAUUGGAUGAUGGUUUGGAAUUGCUGAGGCAGCAGGAUGGCACUCCAAGAACUGGUGGGAAAGGACCAUCCAAGCGAGGCAGUAACUACAGUGCUGUUGAGGAUGUCCAACUUUGCAAAUCCUGGAUUCAUAUCAGCAAUGAUCCUAUCAUAGGGAAUGAUCAGUCAGGAAAAACUUACUGGGAGAGGAUUGCUAAUGAUUUCCACAUGAACAGGGACUUUGAGUCGAUAGGACUCCCAAUUCACUCGAGCAUCGGUUUGGAAUCAUACUAAAAGGAGUGCAUGAAAUUCCAUGGCUUCUUCGAGGAGGUCCAGCGUCGUCAUCGAAGUGGUGUCCCGUACCAAGAACAUUUGGGGGAAGCCCAUGGAAGGUAUGUCAGAAAAGAAAGCGCAAAGAAAUUUCAAUUUGAACAAUGUUGGCUCACGUUGAGGAAUACUCAAAAGUUCGAAUCAACACUUGAAGUCAGCAAGAGGCCGACCAAGUCCAGAGAGCUCAACCUCUCCGUAGGAACUCAACAAGACAGUGAGACAACCGCCCAAGGUCAAGAGAGCUCCUCCAUUCCUUCUACCAAGACAACCCGACCUCCGGGUAGAAAGCAAUCCAAAGACAAGCUGAAAAAAAAUGAAGGAGAUGACGGCUAUAAGGAUAUGAUGCAAAAUUUUUUGGUAAUGAAGACCGAGGAACAAAUGAUGAAGAAAGCAAGGUGGGAGAAGGAUAUGCUGCUUGAGGAGCGGAAGCUUAAGGUGGAGGAGCAGCGGCUGCAGUGGGAGCAGGAACAGAAAAUCAUGUUUUGUGAUGUGACCGCUAUGGACGAUGAUCAGAGGGCUUAUGUGUUGGCGAAGAGAGCGAGGAUUGUGAAGGAUAUGAGUGUUGGUAUAGGCGAGACAGUUAGUGGUGAGAGCGGAGUGUAGGUUUGGUGAGAGUGGAGUCUCUGUAUUUAUCCCAUAUGUAUUUUCACAUAUCUUCAGUCGGUUUAUUAUGAUCCCCCUUAAAAUAUUUAUAAUUCAGUAACUGAACCGAGGAAGCAACAUGUAUUUUUUUCUUUUGUUAAGAGGAUCUGCUCUUUCAGGCAAUCAUUUAUUUCUGGUUCAAUGUCAUGAGUCUAUGCUUCAUGACUGGUUGAUUAUAAAUGUUUUUUUGUGGGCGGCAA